This 1143-nucleotide long non-coding RNA is filed under the name Junco hyemalis (dark-eyed junco). RNAcentral's name for it is "lncRNA (ENSJHYG00000007116.1)". The record is from RNAcentral. Lineage: Eukaryota; Metazoa; Chordata; Aves; Passeriformes; Passerellidae.
AUGAAUAAAGGCAAUUCUCAAACAGCGUUACGGAGGAGCACGUGGUGCCAGGUGAAACACCGGGCAGGAGGACCACAGCGAUCCCGGCCGGACGGGGCAGCGGAGCUGCCGGCAGGCAGAGGCCUCCGGGGGAUGCUGCCCGCGCCCGGGCAUCCCCAGCCCGCGGAGACCCAGCGCGGUAGCGGAGCUGCUCUCCCUCGGCCACCCCAAAUCGCGGGUGGCCGCGGAGAGCUGCCUGCCCGAAAGGGGCUGCCGCCGGCGCUCCGGGAGCAGCGGCGCGGGGCGGCCAGAGGGCGCGGGGACAGCUGUGGAAAUAAAGGAGCGGGGGAAGGAUGGAGAGAAGGGGAAAGAGGGGGGCGGGGGCGCGGUGCCGGGGAAGGCAAUGCGGGGACGGUGGAGGGUUUCGACCCGAGUUCUGGGGGGAAGGGGGGCACGGCAGGCAUGGACACACACACACCACCAUGCCCCGGCACUUCCACCAAGUCAGCCCCACCGCCCCGCGGGGCCGGGAGCAGCCGGAGGGAAGGAGCCGCCGCGCACACACACACACACAGACACACGCCACCGCUGCGCUCCAGCCGCCGCUCGCUUCUCCCCCCCUCCCACCGCCGCCGCGCAGGCAGGAGGCAGCGGGCGCGGAGCAGAGCGGGCGGCGCAGGGCUCGGAGACCCCGGCCCCGGUCGGACCGGCCUCAGCGGCCGCGCUGCCCCGACGGCACCGCCGCCCCCUCCCCGGGGGCAGCGCGCACCUCCCCGCCUGGAGGGGCCGUGCGAGGAGGCAGCGGGCGGGGGGAGCGCGGGCACACACACACACACACACACACACACACUCACAAAUACACACACACACACACGCAGGCACACCCGCACAGACACACGCAGGCAGAGGCAGGGCUGCCCCACGCCGGUACCUUGCUGCCCUGGUGUUUUCCGUCCGGGCUCCUCCUUGCUGAGGCAGCUCGGGAGCGGAGCCGAGCGGGCGGGUGCGUGUGCGUGUGUGUGUGUGCGUGCGUGCAUGCGUGUGCCUCUGUGUGUGUCUGUCUGUGUGUGUGUGUGUGUGUGUGCGAGAGCGAGCGACAGAGAGAGACUCUCCCCCCUCCCCCUCCUCCUCCUCGCUCUCCUUCCUUUAAACGCCCACUCCUGA